RNAcentral lists this ribosomal RNA (1331 nucleotides) under Bacillus pumilus. RNAcentral's name for it is "bacterial SSU rRNA". It matches the Rfam family "Bacterial small subunit ribosomal RNA", at positions 108 to 1425 of the family's 1533-position model. Lineage: Bacteria; Bacillati; Bacillota; Bacilli; Caryophanales; Bacillaceae. The record is from RNAcentral.
GAGUAACACGUGGGUAACCUGCCUGUAAGACUGGGAUAACUCCGGGAAACCGGGAGCUAAUACCGGAUAGUUCCUUGAACCGCAUGGUUCAAGGAUGAAAGACGGUUUCGGCUGUCACUUACAGAUGGACCCGCGGCGCAUUAGCUAGUUGGUGGGGUAAUGGCUCACCAAGGCGACGAUGCGUAGCCGACCUGAGAGGGUGAUCGGCCACACUGGGACUGAGACACGGCCCAGACUCCUACGGGAGGCAGCAGUAGGGAAUCUUCCGCAAUGGACGAAAGUCUGACGGAGCAACGCCGCGUGAGUGAUGAAGGUUUUCGGAUCGUAAAGCUCUGUUGUUAGGGAAGAACAAGUGCGAGAGUAACUGCUCGCACCUUGACGGUACCUAACCAGAAAGCCACGGCUAACUACGUGCCAGCAGCCGCGGUAAUACGUAGGUGGCAAGCGUUGUCCGGAAUUAUUGGGCGUAAAGGGCUCGCAGGCGGUUUCUUAAGUCUGAUGUGAAAGCCCCCGGCUCAACCGGGGAGGGUCAUUGGAAACUGGGAAACUUGAGUGCAGAAGAGGAGAGUGGAAUUCCACGUGUAGCGGUGAAAUGCGUAGAGAUGUGGAGGAACACCAGUGGCGAAGGCGACUCUCUGGUCUGUAACUGACGCUGAGGAGCGAAAGCGUGGGGAGCGAACAGGAUUAGAUACCCUGGUAGUCCACGCCGUAAACGAUGAGUGCUAAGUGUUAGGGGGUUUCCGCCCCUUAGUGCUGCAGCUAACGCAUUAAGCACUCCGCCUGGGGAGUACGGUCGCAAGACUGAAACUCAAAGGAAUUGACGGGGGCCCGCACAAGCGGUGGAGCAUGUGGUUUAAUUCGAAGCAACGCGAAGAACCUUACCAGGUCUUGACAUCCUCUGACAACCCUAGAGAUAGGGCUUUCCCUUCGGGGACAGAGUGACAGGUGGUGCAUGGUUGUCGUCAGCUCGUGUCGUGAGAUGUUGGGUUAAGUCCCGCAACGAGCGCAACCCUUGAUCUUAGUUGCCAGCAUUCAGUUGGGCACUCUAAGGUGACUGCCGGUGACAAACCGGAGGAAGGUGGGGAUGACGUCAAAUCAUCAUGCCCCUUAUGACCUGGGCUACACACGUGCUACAAUGGACAGAACAAAGGGCUGCAAGACCGCAAGGUUUAGCCAAUCCCAUAAAUCUGUUCUCAGUUCGGAUCGCAGUCUGCAACUCGACUGCGUGAAGCUGGAAUCGCUAGUAAUCGCGGAUCAGCAUGCCGCGGUGAAUACGUUCCCGGGCCUUGUACACACCGCCCGUCACACCACGAGAGUUUGCAACACCCGAA